This is a non-coding RNA of Coffea arabica (coffee), 449 nucleotides long. The record is from RefSeq and is a predicted model, not a curated record. NCBI's taxonomy places the organism in Eukaryota, Viridiplantae, Streptophyta, Magnoliopsida, Gentianales, Rubiaceae.
GCGAGCUCUCAUGUUGCUCGAAUCUGCAGGAACGACAGAAGUUGGCGACAAUUCACCAUCGGAGGAAGAUUCUUCUUCAGCUUUUGGUCGUCUCCGUGCACGGGCUGUUCUAAUUGAUCGAGGUGCUGGAGUGGGUGGAAGUUCCACUGACUCAACUUCAUCGAGGAAGCAUACAAGGAUCAGAGACCUGGAUUCCUAUGUGCUAGGACUCAGCUGAGAGGUGUUAAUAACAACCACUAGACUCGCUUGUAGUCACAAGGAAGAAUAAAGUAUCCAAAAUGCAUUUCUAGUCCACUGGAGAAGGAAAAAUAUCCCCCAUGGGAUGGGGCAUUUGUAGUCACUCCCUAAACUGCUGUCUAUUUUUCCAAUUUGUCCUAUGAACAGAAGCAUGUUAUAACUGAUGAAGUUUUCUAAACUAGUCCGAAUAUUGCAGGAUUUCACCUGCUAAA